GAAGAACCGAACUGAGCUAUUAUGGCACAAAUUUGGAAGCAGCUGGGAUGAUGCAAGUAAUGUUGCACAAUCAAGCUGGGUCUCUUGCUGUCCAGCUGUAAGGGGGUCACAGCAUUAGGGAGACUGGACAAAGACAUCUCCCUCCCUAGGGAAUGCUACACCAAGGUCCAUCAUUUGUACCAAGGUCUUUGAUGGGAAAAUGCUGUCUUGUCCCUUGGAAAGGAGAAUCUGAAUUACAAAAUCCAUGUAUGAACNAAGUUAAGGAAUCCAUGCAGAUGAGUGUUUUUAGAUCUUUUUAUUGAACAGCAAAUGGAAAACAAAACCAGAAGCAACUAAAUGUAGAUUUUUUAGGAACAAAGCUUUAAUAAACACAGU
This is a long non-coding RNA of Salvator merianae (Argentine black and white tegu), 375 nucleotides long. NCBI's taxonomy places the organism in Eukaryota, Metazoa, Chordata, Lepidosauria, Squamata, Teiidae. The record is from Ensembl.